UUGGCCUUUGCUGGUUUCCUCCCUCGAAACCACCACCAAGAAGCCUUUAGCCUAUGGUUUUUCUCCUACACUUUUGGUACACUCACCUAUAUAACCAAACCCCUUUACUCCCCUUUACUUCAUCAAAUCAUAGCUCCUGAUAUCUUAAUCUCUACAAAUCCCACUUCAAAGAGUUUCCAACUCGUUGGUUCUAUAUUACAGUAACACAGAAAAUGAGUUCAGCAAGCAAAGCUUGGUUGGUUGCAGCAGCUGUUGGAGGUGUUGAGGCCUUGAAAGACCAAGGGUUCUGCAGGUGGAACUACACCUUGAGAUCCCUCCACCAACAUGCCAAGAACCAUGUCAGAUCAGCCUCUCAGGCCAAGAAGCUUUCUUCUUCAUCCUCUGCCAUGAUCUCGAAUAAAAUCAAGGAAGUGAGAGCAAAACAGUCUGAGGAAUCUCUAAGAAAAGUCAUGUAUUUGAGCUGUUGGGGCCCUUACUAAGCAAAGAAGCAAGAACAGAGAUUGAGGAAAUUAUCGUGAUAGGAUUACCCUGAUUGUUGCAAGUCGAUGUAAAUAUUUGUAAAUUUUGUUGCUGACUUAAUGGAAUCAAACAAUAUUAUUCUUGGAUUAGUUUUUCCUUGCACCUUUUAUGUUUUCCCACUUCUUUUGGUAGCACCUCAUGUCACAGGUGAAAACUAAAGGGAUCAUGACAAGGUUCAAUUUUAGUGCAUCACAGCAUUUGCUAAGGAUAUUUAAAUUAAUUGCAACCCCAAGCUAAAUAUCUAAUUUGGUUUAAAAAGUAUUUUAAAAAAUCAGCAACUCAACUGGAGGAGGGGUUGUAUCGCAAAAGCUAAAUAUCUUGAUAGGUUGACAAAUUAGUGCAAAUCUUAAACUGGAAUUCUCAAUUUCAAUCUGGCCCAGAAGAAAAUUAGUUUAGGAGUAUUUCUUCACUCACAAGUGUUUUUUUUAAUAUUAUAUUUUAUAAUUUUUUAGUUGAAUAUUGAAUUCUUUAAUAGUUAAGUUUCAUAUUUUUAUUUAGUUUUUUUUUUUACUUUUUUAAUUAUUUUUUGCCAUGAAUAAUCUUUUGAAUAAAUAUAAAAUUUAUUUCUAGCAACAAAAUUACUAGAUAUAAUUGAGUAAUAACGCAUAAUUAAAUAUUUUAAUCUUAUUAAAUAUUUUAAUCAAAUAUUAAUUCAUUCAAUUAAAUACAUGCAUAAAUAUUGUAAUAUAUAAUUGAGAAUUUUUUAUAUUAACAACCUCAUGAAAAACUUAAUUAUUAUUUUUUUUUUUUACUAAAAAGGAUAUAUAAUCCUCUACGAAGUGCUGUUGAAAUAGUUUACAUACAGUCCUCAUUGUGCAUGGUGAAUAUUUUGCAGGAGAUUCCCGGAUCAUUAAACAACUUCAUCAUUUAAAUGAUGAAUGCAGAGAGGUAUUUAUGGUGCAGCUUGGAUUCAGUUCAAAGAGAUCCAAUAUAUGUUUCCUUGCUUCGUCCAGAUGAAGGUUACGUUUGUGUGAUUGUGGAUGGCAGCUCUCAUGGGCAAUCCAGGCGUGUCUGGAUUUGGGGAACUGGUUUGAAACAAUGACAGUCACCGGAUGGCGGGUUUCUUGGGUUUUUGUGGUUUUGGAUUGAAUCUUCUUCCGGAACUUCUGGCAAUUAAACAUGGCUUAGCUGAAGCAUAGGAUAGAGGCCAUAGGAGGAUCAUUAUCGAUUCUCAAGAGGCAAUCAAGCUUACAAAAGAGAAGAAUUCUAAAUUUCAUAAAUUGGAUGCGGUUAUAUGUAGAUGUCAAGUUUUUUUGGCUAAGCAUGAUGUAAAGAAUCAUGAUUUGUUCCAGGUGUGGGACAUUCCUUCUCCGGGGCUACACUCUCUCCUUAUGACCGAUUCGUUGGUUCGUUGGGUUUCAAUUUUAGAAGAGUUUUUUAGUUUGUGUCAUUUAAUUUUCACUGCAUCAAAAAAAAAAAAAAUUCCUAACUAUUACUUCAACUUUCUUGCUUAUUAGCAAUCAUACAACAACAGCAGCAACAAGUAACAGCAUCACUUGUCUUUCAUCCUUUUACAGUUCCAUAACACCAAAACAGCUUUGUGAAUACAUGUUUAACCGUAAAAUAAAAUACGAAAAAAGAUGAAUUUUAAGAGAGAGAGAGAGAGGCUCUCAACUUUAUUUUAUAUUAAAGAAAACGAAAAGGAGAAGCAUGCAUUUUGACAUUUGUUUAUCCUCAGUCCCACACUUUCUUUCAGUCCUUACAAGUGGCAAAAAUGAGAAGUGCCACCAAAUUGUGACAUGCAUGACUCACCACCCUUCAGCUAUGCUCCUCCUUAUACGGUGGCUAGGAUUUAUUUAUUUUACGAAGCAAAACCAUGUGCUCAUUUCAAGGCAGGCAGAGAAGCUUUUGGCUUGUUGUGGAGUAAAGGGCAAAAAAAUCUAGCCAUCCCAAGAACCCGAUUUUGUCCCCACUUUCUUAUUGUCACCAUGUGGUAGUUGAAUGUUAAUACAGCCAUCUCACCAUAAAAAAUUACCAUCGGCUUUUGCUGGUUUCCUCACCCAAAACAACCAGCAGGAAGCCUUUAGCCUCAGGUUUUUUCCUCAACUUUUGGCAUUCUCACCUAUAUAACCAAACCCCAUCCUCCCAUCGGAUUCAUCAAAGCAUAGCUCGAGCUUUCUUACUCUCUACAAAUCCUACUACAAACUUGUUGGUUCUAUAUUACAGUAACAUAAAAAAUGAGUUCAGCGAGUAAAGCUUGGUUGGUUGCCGCUGCUAUCGGAGGUGUUGAGGCGUUGAAAGAUCAAGGGUUCUGUAGGUGGAACUACACAUUGAGAUCCCUCCACCACCAUGCCAAGAACCAUGUCAGAUCAGUCUCUCAGGCCAAGAAGCUUUCUUCUUCGUCCUCAGCCAUGAUCUCAAAUAUAGUCAAGGAAGAGAAGGCAAAACAGUCAGAGGAGUCUUUAAGAAAAGUCAUGUACUUGAGUUGUUGGGGUCCAAACUGAAGCUAUGAAUCUAGUAGAUGAAAUCGAGGGACUUAGUUUAUAGUUUAUAGGAGUAAAUCCUUGCAAGCUUAUGCAAAUUGUAAAUUUUGAUGCACAUUUUCUGAAAUCGAACAUUAUCACAUGUUUUUAUCAUUUCUUUUGGUAGCGCGAGUGCAUUUCCCUAGUGAGUAAAUUUAACAAAGCUCUUUUCUAGUUUUCUAGUGGAAUAAACAGGCAAUUAAUUUCAUUUAAUUUCAAUAUGAGAUAUGAAAUUCAACUGGAGGUUAAAAUCUCUUUCUCCCCACAUCCUCAGAUGGAUAAAAAGGCUAUCUCAAAUUGGAUUUGACCCCAAAGAAAAUCCAUUUUGUUGUAAAAUUCUCAGUCACUAAUCACAACAGGAGUGAUCAUUGUGUGAAAAAUGGAAGAGGACCUUGUACCAUCACAUAAAUUUAUUAAUAAGUAAGAUUGGAUCGAAUUCUUUUGAUAUUUAAAAAUACAGAAUUAUGUCUUUUUCUAUGUCAAAGUGUGCAGUUCAAGAAACUAGGAACGAUGCUGAUUCAAAAUUAAUGUUCAUUCUUAGAUCACUCUUACAAGCUCACUAGAAUCUCUCUCUGUUAAACCCAAAUGAAAAGAAAAAACUAAAAAUAUGAGCGUUUAUUUUCAGAAAUACAAAUGGUCUUGACCAAUACAAUUUUUGCCUAAAUUUCUAUUCAAGCGCUAAUAGUUAACAUUAAUGGAAAGCGACCUGCAUAUGACCUUCUUGCAGAAAGAAAACAACUGAACUUUUAACUUCCAUGCAUCAUAGCCAUUAAACCUGGCAUAGAUUAGAUUAGCAAAGCUGAGUCUGAAAACAAAUCCUCACAGAAAUCUGAAAACAUAAAACUAAAGUUAUUGUUUUAAUUAUUUUUCUAAUUAAUUUUAAAUUAUAAUUAUUUAUUUUCUAUUUAAUUUAUGCUAGAUGGAUUAUAUUAAUUAGAAUUUUUUUUAACUAUAAAUCCUUUUUUAUAACAAAUUUUAGAAUUAAUAUAAAUAGAAAUAUGUAGUUUAUUUUUAUAGAGAUAAAAACUAUUAUUUAUAUUUAAUAAAAAUAUAUAAAAAAUUAAAAUUUCUGAAAAGUUUAAUCUACAAUUUUAGAACUUGAAGUCUAGUUUUAUUUUGGCUAUAGUCUGUGUCAUGACUUAAACUGUCUAGUUUUUUACUGAACUGUAUUAAAUAUUAAUUUAGUAAAAUUCGAAUUGGAUUGGCUUGCGAGUUAAUCUAAUGAUCGAUUAAGUGGCCGUUUGGAUUUGCUGCAGCGGUUGCGGUUGAAAUGAAAAUAUGCAAUAUAGUGUUUGGUUAACACCAACCAUGUUUUUUAUUGAUGUGGGUCCCAGUCCAAAACUAAGGCUGGACUUCAGUUUUUGAAAAGCAAUUACCAAUUGCUUUUCAUGCGUUUUGCCCUCUCUUUCAUCGCCGACACUUUCCUCUUGUUUUCCCAACGAUCCCAACUCCUGUCCUUGAUUUUUAUGUUUCAACUCUCACAGCCUAUCCAUUUCCAAACCUCAGCAGCUUAGGAAAGAGAAAAGCUCACAAUCUGUUUUUUUUGAAAAGGUUUAUUCUACCCAUAUAACUUAUAAUUUUUUAUCGCCUUGUUAUUAAUAUGGGGUUUAAUUUUUAUUUUAUUCUACGACUGUCUAUUUUUAAAAAAAUUAUUUAAUCUAUCUUUUUUAAAUAGCAAUUAUUCUUAUAUAUAUUUUUAGUUUUAUAAUGUACCAAAGAAGUUAUUGUAAUUUAUCUUUAUUUUUUUUCUUUUAUAUUUGAUUAAAAAAAUAACCUCUAAGAUAAAAAAAAAAACAAAAAAAAACAUAUGAAUUAAAAAAAAAGUUAGGUCAAAUAUUUUAAUGCUUAUUGUAUUUUGUUUUUAUGAAAGAUAUUAAUUUUUUUAUUUUAAUAUUUAAUUACCAUUAACAAAUUUUUCUCAACUUAUCACUUCUUAGAUUUUUAUAUUUAUUUUAUUAAAUUUAAAUAAAAACUUAACAUUUUUCAAUUAAAAAAAUUCACAAUACAAUAAAAUGCAUUUACAAAAUUGGCGUUUAUUAAAAAAAUUCAUUUCUUUUGAAAAGUGCUUUUUGAAUCAUAAUUUUACCAAACACAAAACUGCUUUUUUUUUCUACCACAAUUUAAACCACAGUUUUUUAACCAAACACAAGAAACUGUUUUUUUUAAAACCACAACUCCAACCACAGUUUUAACCAAACACUAACUUUUUUUGAAAUCAAUCUCACAAAAAAUACUUUUUAUUAAACUAUUCUUUUCAAACCAUAAUUAUAAAAGCUACCACAAUACUAAACACAUUCAGUAAGGGAAAAAAAAAAAAAAACAAAAGAAAGAAAGCAUGCAGUUUCCUAGACGGUCCUGCUACCUUAAUUGAUACAGUUUCAUGCGUAUGAGCCUCCAAGAACAUGGCAUGUGGCAUUCCUCACCUCUAAUUUGGGCUUAGUUGGAUAUUUUUUUUAAGCAAAACGGUGUGCUCGCGGGAAGAUAGAGACAAGGUUGAUCUGUCGAUUGUUAUGAAUAAAUUAAAAAAUCUACACCCACCCCAUUUUAUCCCAACUUAUUUAAUGAAUCCAGUCGUCUACUAAGACAAUAGAUGCAUCAUGUCAUCAAAAAUACCGUUGGCCUUCGCUGGUUUCCUCACUCAAAACCACCACGAAGAAGCCUUGAGCCUCUGGUUUUUCUCCUACACUUUUGGUACACUCACCUAUGUAACCAAACCCCCUUACUCUCAUUUACUUCAUCAAAUCAUAGCUCCUGAUAUCUUAAUCUCUCCAAAUCCAACUUCAAAGAGUUUCCAACUCGUUGGUUCUAUAUUACAGUAACAGAGAAAAUGAGUUCAGCAAGCAAAGCGUGGUUGGUUGCAGCAGCUGUUGGAGGUGUUGAGGCGUUGAAAGAUCAAGGGUUCUGUAAAUGGAACUACACCUUAAGAUCGCUGCACCAACAUGCCAAGAACCAUGUCAGAUCAGCCUCUCAGGCCAAGAAGCUUUCUUCUUCAUCUUCUGCCAUGAUCUCGAAUAAAGUCAAGGAAGUGAAAGCAAAACAGUCUGAGGAAUCUCUAAAAAAAGUCAUGUAUUUGAUCAGCUGCUGGGGUCCUUACUAAAGCUAAGAAGCAAGAUGAAAUUGAGAAACUUAUCGUGAUAGGAUUACCCUGAUCGUUGCAAGUUGAUGUAAAUAUUUGUAAAUUUUGGUGCUGACUUAAUGGAAUCAAACUAUAUUAUUUUUUCAUUAAUUUUUCCUUGCACCAUUUAUUUUUUCUGUUUUCCCCCUUCUCUUGGUAGCACCUCGUGUCACAAGUGAAAAAGGAUCAUGACAAGGUUCAAGUUUAGUGCAUCACAGCAUUUGCUAAGGAUAUUUAAAUCAAUUGCAAUCUCAAGAUAGAAUCGAAAUUCUAAUUUCGUUACGAAAAUCUAUUUUAAAAAAGCUAGGCCUGCAACUUUGACUGGUUUUUUAAUGACAUCCAUGGAUUAAGAAAUAAUUAUUGGAUUAAAACCUUACCCCGUUUUUGGAGCCAAAUGGAAGUUAUAUAUAUAUAUAUAUAUAUAUAUAUAUAUAUAUAUAUAUAUAAUCUGUUAAAUGAAGAUCAACAGGGCUUCUUUACUUCAAUGUCAGAACUUUUGAGCAUUCAAGAAACUUGGAAUGUUGCAAAAUGGUUGAACUUGACAGAAAAGAAAUAUUUUUUUUUGAAGUGAAUAAUGUUUAGUAACGUAAUGAGAAUCCAUUUGAUCACUGCUCAAGUCGUUUAUGCAUCAAAAUUUUGCUUGAUGACAUGUCUGGAUAAGGAGAGCUUGAGAGUUGAGAACUUGGUAUUUUGUGACACACGCAAUGGAUCUACAAUUAUUGUCUGUCCUUUACUCAAGCCCCACUCCUGAAGAAAAACAGGAGGAUUUGCCUCCUAUACUUGAGGCUCACCUCGGAGUUUUAUAAAGCAAACCGUGUGCCUCUUUAUCAAAACAAGGCCCCGCUCUAGCAACAUGAUAAGAUGCAUGAAAAAGAAAUGUAUUUAAUGCCACCAAGUGGUCCUUGAUGGACAUAAAGAUUCAGUCCCAUCAUAGCUGGUGGUUUGGCUCCCUUAAGCUAAAACCACCAGCUACAGCUUGUUCCUAGCUUCCGGUUUCCUUCAAAUUUCUGGCACCUAGUCCGCUACUCUCUUUAUAAGCAAAUCCCAGUUUGCCAUUUACACCAUCGACACGAAUUCUCAAUUACAUCUCAUCCUUUUCAACUAAAAAUCUCACAUCAACGAGUUUCCAACUAUUGUUCUAUUUUAUAUUACAGAGAAAAUGAGUUCAGCAAGUAAAGCUUGGUUGGUAGCUGCUGCUAUUGGAGGUGUUGAGGCCUUGAAAGACCAAGGCUUCUGUAGGUGGAACUACACAUUGAGAUCGCUACACCAACAUGCCAAGAACCAUGUCGGGUCAAUUUCUCAGGCUAAUAAGAAGCUCCCUUAUUCAUCUUCUGCCAUUAUUUCAAAUAAAUUCAAGGAAGAGAAGAUGAAACAGUCAGAGGAGUCUCUAAGAAAAGUCAUGUAUUUGAGUUGUUGGGGUCCUAACUGAUACUCUCAAGAAAAAGGAAAUUCUGAGGAAAUCAGUUCAUAGGAUUAGAGUAAAUUUUUGCAAGUUGAUUUAAACUGUAAAUGCUUGUGCUGACAAUCAAAUAUAUCUCAUUUUAUUGGCAAAAUUUUGGGAAAAUGGCCUUAAAGUAACAUUAACAAAGGAUAUGGCUCAUGUUAAAAAAAACACCAGCAACUCAAUUGGAGGAGGAGUUGUAUCACAGAAGCUAAAUAUCUUGAUAAGUUGAUAAAUUAGGACAAAUCUUAAACUGGAAUUCUCAAUUUCAGUUUGGCCCAGAAGAAAAUUAGUUUAGGAAUAUUUCUUUACUCACAAGUGUUCACGGCAGGGUGAUGAUCACUGUAUGUGAAAUGAAAACGCUGUGUUUGUUUUCCGGAAAGUGGUUUCCGGGAAAGCACUUUCCAAACUUUCUCGUGUUUGUUUGCCAGUAGGAAAGUUGGUCAAUGGAAAACACUUUCCAGUAAAAGGAAAAUUUGGCUUGGUUUUCAGGAAAGUGUUUUCCUGAAAAAUUUGAGGGGAAAACACUUUCCAGAAGUUGUGAAAAUUUUAGAAAUGUCAUUAUUUGCUGAUUAUAUCAAAUUUGAUCCUCAAACUUUUGAUUGCUAUAUAUAUUUUGUUUUGAAUAUUUAUUUUUCAAUUUCAUCUCUUAAAAUUUUAUUUUUAUAUUAACUUUGGUCCUUAUUUUUAUAAUUGUUAUUUGCUUUUUUCUUACCAUUUUUUUAUUGAAAUUUUUUAUUUAUCAAAUUUGAUCCUCAUUCUUUUUGAUUGUUACUUAUUUUAUUUGAAAUAAUUUAUGAAAUGUUGAUUAUUAUUAUUUUAAUUUCUUCAUUUUUCAUUUUUUUUUAUUUUUUUAGAUUUGAUCCCUAUUAUUUUGAUUAUUAUUUGUUUUAUUUGAGAUAAUUUAUGAAAUUAUAUUUUUUUUUUUCAAUUUCAUUCUCAUUCAACUUUUUAAUUUGUAAGAUUUGUUCCUCAUUAUUUUAAUAAACUUGAGAAAAAUAAAAUAUUAAUAAGUUAUUUUCCAGCUCAUUUUUCAUGACAUAACUAAACACUGGAAAGUGUUUUCCAGUUCAUUUUCCAUAACACUACCAAACAUCGGAAAAUACUUUCCCGGAAUUCACUUUCCAGGAAUUCACUUUCCUCGGAAUUCACUUUCCAAAAGAAAUUCACUUUCCUGCAAACAAACGGAGCCUUAAAUUACAAAAGAAUUGUAUAAAUAAUUAACCCGAAGAAUUUUUGAAUAAUUAUAUGAUGAAUUUAUGAAAAACUUUCACACAGAAAUUGGGUUUUUAAAGACAACAAUUAUAGAUGAGAGAUGUGUGUGGGGGUCUAAAUAUGGGAUUAGCCUUAAAAAAUAUCGAUCUUGGGACGUGAAGAAUAUUUUCAAACCAAUUGAUUUGGUGAAAACUUUGGUGUUAUCAUUGAUGUUGGCAAAACGUUAUCUAGAAAAAGCUAUUGGUAUAGAAAAUAUAUACUUGAUUUUCAUAGACAUGUGAUUAUUGGCUUGAUGUUUGGAUCACGACCCCAACAAUAACAAGGAGGCGAAGGUUUAUUGCCAUUUGGGUCAACAAAAACAAUUUUGUUCUGGUAAAAAUGUAUGCCAUCAUUUUCCUCUCAUGUUUUUUAAACAAAUAUGCUCGAAAGACAUGAAAAGAAAAGAAAAAAUUAGAAAAAGAAAACUUGUUUUGUAUAGAGUUUACAAGUGUAGAUAGUUUUUGUUAAAUUUUUGCAAGAAAGAGCAAAGUUUAAUUAUCUUGCUUAGAGGUAGUUUAGUUAAAAAAAAGAGUGGAAAAGUAAGCAAUAUGAUAUCUGAAUGAGUGUACAAGUUCAAGACGCCUUACAUGAGAAGUCCAAAUUUAAUUAUCAUGUUUUGGAGACAGGUAGUCAAAAAGACUUGAAGAAAGAUUUGUGAUUUUUUUUAUAGACAAGUGGUUACAGAAUAAUGAAAAAGGAUAUCUUAUACUUUAGAAAAUAUAUGAUCAUAGUGUUUUGGAGACAUUUAUGAAGAUUCAAUUAAGACAUGAAGAUUUUAGUAUGAAAAAUUAAAGAAGCUAGAGUUUAUUUUCAAUAUAAGUUAUAUAUUUAUUACACUGAAUAGGCUAAUUUGUUUGUUUUGUUUAUUGUAAUUUCAUGCUUGCAAGAGUUAUUUUUCAAUGCUAUUGUGUAAUCUUUUAUAUAUAUAUAUAUAUUCAAUUACUAUCUUUGCUUAUUUUUUUAUUGUCUAAUUAAAAUAAAACUAACUUAUUAAAUUUAAAUGAGGCUAUAACCUGAGUUAUUUGUUUUUUUUUAUUUCUUUUAAAUAUGCUUGUGACACCUAGAUUAUAGUUGUCUUUUUUUAUUUUUUAUUUUUUAUUUUAAUUGAUACCUUUUUAAAAAAAUAUUUUUUUUUAAUUUAUAUUUGCAUUAAUAUCUCUUCUCAAUUAUUUUUUAUUUUUAAUUGAUUUUUCCUUCAAUUUCAUCCAUAUCCUUUGGUUUAAUUUGAUUUUUAAAUCAAACUUAUUUCUUAUUCUUUUGAUAUUUUUAAACCUUUUAUAAAUUGAUUUUUUUUCAAUUACAUUCCUUGGCAUUUAAUUUCAAUUUAUUUUUCUAUUAAAUUUGGUUCCCGUUAUUUGUUUUUCUUCUUGUCUUUUAUGGGGUUAGUCUCAUCCUCAUUACAAGGGUCACAAGUUUCGAAGGUUAACAUUGGUUGACUUUGAUUUUUUUAAGUUUUUUUAUCAAAUUGAUUUAUUUUUAAUUUUAUCCUAUAAUAUUUAAUUUUUUUUAAUUAGUUUUUUUUUAUCUUUUUUUAUAUGGAGUUAUCUCAAUCCUAUACCCAUAGUCUUAGAGUUAGUGGCUUAAUCCAAGUUAACUCGGAUUUGUUUUCAUAUAUAAAUAUAAUUUUCUUAAUUCCAUUGCUAAAGAUCUUUUUAUUGAGAAUUUUGCUUCGUUGUUUUUUUUGUUUGCCUUCCAAUGCAGUCGGUCUCAGUCUCAUGACCACGGUUGUGGAUUUUAAAAGUUAAUAUUUGUUAAUUUUGAUUUGUUUAGGUUUUUUUUUUUUUCAAUUUCAUCAUUCAACAUUUAAAUUUUUAGGAUUGAUCUUCAUGCUUUUUUUUUAUUCACUUUCUUUUUUAUGGGGCUAUCUCAAUCUAAUGCCCAAAAUCGUGAAGUUAGUGAGUUAACCUAGCAGAGACAAGUUUGAUAUUAGAAUAAAUGGAUUUAAAUAAUAUUUUAUUUUUAACUUUUUCGUAUUAAAAUGAUUUGAAUAUAUAUAUAUAUAUAUAUAUAUAUAUAUUUUAAAAGCAAAAACAAACUAGGUAUAAUAAUAAAAACUUAAUUUAUCUCCAUUUUUUUAAUGACCAAGUUGUAUUCCAAUAAUUGAAGGGGAAAUAGAGACCACUUGUCUUCUAAAAAAUACCGUUGGCCUUCGCUGGUUUCCUCACUCAAAACCACCACCAAGAAGCCUUUAGCCUCUGGUUUUUCUCCUACAAUUUUGGUACACUCACCUAUAUAACCAAACCCCUUUACUCCCAUUUCCUUCAUCAAAUCAUUGCUCCUGAUAUCUUAAUCUCUUCAAAUCCCACUUCAAAGAGUUUCCAACUCGUUGGUUCUAUAUUACAGUAACAUGAAAAAUGAGUUCAGCGAGUAAAGCUUGGUUGGUUGCAGCAGCUGUUGGAGGUGUCGAGGCCUUGAAAGACCAAGGGUUCUGUAGGUGGAGCUACACCUUGAGAUCCCUUCACCAACAUGCCAAGAACCAUGUCAGAUCAGCCUCUCAGGCCAAGAAGCUUUCUUCUUCAUCCUCUGCCAUGAUCUCGAAUAAAAUCAAGGAAGUGACAGCAAAACAGUCGGAGGAAUCUCUAAGAAAAGUCAUGUAUUUGAGCUGUUGGGGUCCUUCCUAAAGCUAAGAAGCAAGAUGGAAUUGAGAAAAUUAUCGUGAUAGGAUUACCCUGAUCGUUGCAAGUUGAUGUAAAUAUUUGUAAAUUUUGGUACUGACUUAAUGGAAUCAAACUAUAUUAUUUCUUGAUUAAUUUUUCCUUGCACCAUUUAUUUUUUUCUGUUUUCCCACUUCUUUUGGAAAGGAUCAUGAAAAGGUUCAAUUUUAGUGCAUCACAGCAUUUGCUAAGGAUAUUUGAAUCAAUUGCAAUCUCAAGAUAGAAUCUAAAUUCUAAUUUGGUUAAGAAAAUCUAUUAAAACAAAAUCCAGGUCUAACUUUGACUGGUUUUUUAAUGACAUAUAUAUUAUCUGUUAAAUGAAGAUCAAUAGGGCUUAUUUAUUUAAAUGUCAGAACUUUUGAACUUUCAAGAAAAUUGGAAUGUGGCAAAAUGGUUGAACCUGACAAAAAAAAAAAGUAUUUUCUUGAAUAUCUGAAAAAUGAAUUAGCUCGUAAGAAAUAAUUAUUUUGAAGUGAAUAGUGUUUCGUAACAUUAGAGAAUCCACUUGCUCACUGCUCAGGUCGUUUAUGCGUCAAAAUUUUGCUGGAUGCCAAGUCUUUAGAACGCUCGAUUAAGGAGAGCUUGAGAGUUCAGAACUUUGUAUUUUGUGACGCAUGCAAUGGAUCUACAAGACUACAAGUAUUGUCUGUCCUUUACUCAAGCCCCACUGCUGAAGAAAAACAAGUGGAUUUGCCUCCUAUACUUGAGGCUCACUUCGGAUUUUUAUAAAGCAAACCGUGUGCUCUUUACCAAAACAUGGCCCCGCUCUAGCAACAUGAUAAGAUGCAUGAAAAAGAAAUGUAUUUAUAAUUCCACCAAGUGGUCCUUGAUAGACAUAAAGAUUCAGUCCCAUCAUAGCAUAACCACGAUAAAAUAAUACCACUGGCUCCCUUAAACCAAAACCAGCAACCACAGCUUGCUCCUUGCUUCCGGUUUCCUCCCAAUUUCUGGCAAUUAGUUCCCAACUCUCUUUAUAAGCAAAUCCCAGUUUGCCAUUUACACCAUCGACACGGAUUCUGAAUCACAUCUCAUCGUUUUCAACUAAAAAUCCCACAUCAAAGAGUUUCCAACUAUUGUUCUAUUUUAUAUUACAGAGAAAAUGAGUUCAGCAAGUAAAGCUUGGUUGGUAGCUGCUGCUAUUGGAGGUGUUGAGGCCUUAAAAGACCAAGGCUUCUGUAGGUGGAACUACACAUUGAGAUCGCUACGCCAGCAUGCCAAGAACCAUGUCGGGUCAAUUUCUCAGGCUAAUAAGAAGCUCCCUUGUUCAUCUUCUGCCAUUAUUUCAAAUAAAUUCAAGGAAGAGAAGGCGAAACAGUCAGAGGAGUCUCUAAGAAAAGUCAUGUAUUUGAGUUGCUGGGGUCAAAACUGAUACUCUCAAGAAAGAAGAAAUUCUGAGGAAAUCAGUUCAUAGGAUUAGAGUAAAUUUUUGCAAGUUGAUUUAAACUGUAAAUGCUUGUGCUGAUUGCCAAUCAAAUAUAUCUCAUUUUAUUGGCAAAAUUUUGGGAAAAUGGCCUUAAAGUAACAUUAACAAAGGAUAUGGCUCAUGUUAAAAAAAAAACCAGCAACUCAAUUGGAGGAGGAGUUGAUAAAUUAGGACAAAUCUUAAACUGGAAUUCUCAAUUUCAAUUUGGCCCAGAAGAAAAUUAGUUUAGGAAUAUUUCUUUACUCACAAGUGUUCACGGCAGGGUGAUGAUCACUGUAUGUGAAAUUAAACAGGCCUUUAAAUUACAAAAGAAUUGUAUAAAUAAUUAACCCGAAGAAUUUGUGAAUAAUUAUCUGAUGAAUUUAUGAAAAACUUUCACACAGAAAUUGGGUUUUUAAAGACAACAAUUAUAGAUGAGAGAUGUAUGGGGGUCUAAAUAUGGGAUUAGCCUUAAAAAAUAUCGAUCUUGGGACGUGAAGAAUUUCAAACCAAUUGAUUUGGUGAAAACUUUGGUGUUAUCAUUGAUGUUAGCAAAACGUUAUCUAGAAAAAGCUAUUGGUAUAGAAAAUAUAUACUUGAUUUUCAUAGACGUGUGAUUAUUGGCUUGAUGUUUGGAUCACGACCCCAACAAUAACAAGAAGGCGAAGGUUUAUUGCCAUUUGGGCCAACAAAAACAAUUUUGUUCUGGUAAAAAUGUAUGCCAUCAUUUUCCUCUCAUGUUUUUUAAACAAAUAUGCUCGAAAGACAUGAAAAGAAAAGAAAAAAAUUAGAAAAAGAAAACUUGUUUUGUAUAGAGUUUACAAGUGUAGAUAGUUUUUGUUAAAAGUUUUUGCAAGAAAGAACAAAGUUUAAUUAUCUUGCUUAGAGGUAGUUUAGUAAAAAAAAAGAGUGGAAAAGUAAGCAAUAUGAUAUCUGAAUGAGUGUACAAGUUCAAGACGCCUUACAUGAGAAGUCCAAGUUUAAUUAUCAUGUUUUGGAGACAGGUAGUCAAAAAGACUUGAAGAAAGAUUUGUGAUUUUUUUUAUAGAUUUGUGAUUUUUUUUAUAGACAAGUGGUUAUAGAAUAAUGAAAAAGGAUAUCUUAUACUUUAAAAAAUAUAUGAUCAUGGUGUUUUGGAGACAUUUAUGAAGAUUCAAUUAAGACAUGAAGAUUCUAGUGUGAAAAAUUAAAGAAGCUAGAGUUUAUUUUCAAUAUAAGUUAUAUAUUUAUUACACUGAAUAGGCUAAUUUGUUUUUUUUGUUUAUUGUAAUUUCAUGCUUGCAAGAGUUAUUUUUCAAUGUUAUUGUGUAAUAUAUAUAUAUAUAUAUAUUCAAUUACUAUCUUUGUCUAUUUUUUUAUUGUCUAUUUAAAAUAAAACUAACUUAUUAAAUUUAAAUGAGGCUAUAACCUGAGUUAUUUGUUUUUUUUAUUUCUUUUAAAUGUGCUUGUGACACCUAGAUUAUAGUUGUCUUUUUUUUAUUUUUUUAUUUUAUUUUUUAUUUUAAUUGAUACCUUUUUUAAAAAAUAUAUAUAUUUUUUAAUUUAUAUUUGCAUUAAUAUCUCUUCUCAAUUAUUUUUUAUUUUUAAUUGAUUUUUCCUUCAAUUUCAUCCAUAUCCUUUGGUUUAAUUUGAUUUUCAAAUCAAACUUAUUCCUUAUUCUUUUGAUAUUUUUAAACUUUUUUAUAAAUUGAUUUUUUUUCAAUUACAUUCCUUGGCAUUUAAUUUCAAUUGAUUUUUCUAUUAAAUUUGGUUCCCGUUAUUUGUUUUUCUUCUUGUCUUCUAUGGGGUUAGUCUCAUCCUCAUUACAAGGGUCACGAGUUUCGAAGGUUAACAUUGGUUAACUUCAAUUUUUUUAGGUUCUUUUAUCAAAUUGAUUUAUUUUUAAUUUUAUCCUUUAAUAUUUGAUUUUUUUAAUUAAUUUUUUUUAUCUUUCUUUAUAUGGGGUUAUCUCAAUUCUAUGCCCAUAGUCUUAGAGUUAGUGCCUUAAUCCAAGUUAAAUCAUAUAUACAUAUAAUUUUCUUAGUUCCAUUGCUAAGGAUCUUUUUGUUGAGAAUUUUGCUUCAUUGUUUUUUUUUGUUUGCCUUCCAUGCAGUCGGUCUUAGUCUCAUAACCACGGUUAUGGAUUUUAAAAGUUAACAUUUGUUAAUUUUGAUUUGUUUAGGUUUUUUUUAAAAUUGAUUUUUUUUUAAUUUUAUCAUUCAACAUUUAAAUUUUUGGGAUUGAUCUUCAUACUUUUUUUUUUCACUUUUCAUUUCAUGGAGCUAUCUCAAUCUAAUGCCCAAAAUUGUGAAGUUAGUGAGUUAAUCUAGAUUGACCAAAAUCUUUUUUUAUUGAUUUUUUUAAAAUAUUUAUUUUUAGUUGUCACUCAAUAUUAGAUUGUUUGAGUUUCAUAUUUUUUUCAAUUUGUUUUUGUUAACAAUUCUUUGUAUUGUUUAUUGGCACGAAUAAUCUUUUAAUUAAACAAAAAGUUUAUUCUAUAAAACAAAGUUAUUGAACAUAAGUAAGUAGAUAACAUGGGUUGCAUGAUCAAAUAUUUUAAUCUUAAUAAGUCAUUGAUUAAAUAUUAAUUUAUUUAAUUAAAUAUAUGUAUAAAUAUUUUAAUAUAUGAUUGAGAAUUUUUUAUAUAAAAAACAUGAAGAAAAACUUAUUUAUUCUUUAUUUUUUUAUUAAAAAAUUAAGAUAUAUAAUCCUCUACGAAGCGCUGUUGAAAUAGUUUAUUGUAGUUUUCUAGACCAUCACAAUUGUUUACAGACAGUCCUCACUAUUACUUCAAUUGUCUUCAAAAACAGUCUUGCCCAAAACAAAACAUUGAUUGAUAAGUGACAAACCCCAUUUGUUUAAUGCGUGUGACUCAGAGCAGAGACAAGUUUGAUAUUAGAAUAAAUGGAUUUAAAUAAUAUUUUAUUAUUUUUUAAAAAAAUAUUUUUAACUUUUUCAUAUUAAAAUGAUUUAAAAAUAAUAAUAAAAAAUAUAUUUUUUUUUAAAGCAAAAACAAACUAGGUAUAAUAAAAAAACUUAAUUUAUCUCCAUUUUUUUAAUGACCAAGUUGUAUUCCAAUAAUUGAAGGGGAAAUAGAGACCACUUGUCUUGUAAAAAAUACCGUUGGCCUUUGCUGGUUUCCUCACUCAAAACCACGACGAAGAAGCCUUGAGCCUCUUGUUUUUCUCCCACACUUUUGGUACACUCACCUAUAUAACCAAACCCCUUUACUCCCAUUUACUUCAUCAAAUCAUAGCUCCUGAUAUCUUAAUCUCUCCAAAUCCCACUUCAAAGAGUUUCCAACUUGUUGGUUCUAUAUCACAGUAACAGAGAAAAUGAGUUCAGCAAGCAAAGCUUGGUUGGUUGCAGCAGCUGUUGGAGGUGUUGAGGCGUUGAAAGACCAAGGGUUCUGUAGGUGGAACUACACCUUGAGAUCCCUGCACCAACAUGCCAAGAACCAUGUCAGAUCAGCCUCUCAGGCCAAGAAGCUUUCUUCUUCAUCCUCUGCCAUGAUCUCGAAUAAAGUCAAGGAAGUGAGAGCAAAACAGUCUGAGGAAUCUCUAAGAAAAGUCAUGUAUUUGAGCUGUUGGGGCCCUUACUAAGCAAAGAAGCCACAUGAAAUUGAGGAAAUUAUCGUGAUAGGAUUAGCCUGAUUGUUGCCAGUUGAUGUAAAUUGAUUUUUAAAUAUUGUUGCUGACUUCAUGGAAUCAAACCAUAUUAUUUUUGGAUUAGUUUUUCCUUGCACCAUUUAUUUUAUAGUUUCUGUUUUCCCAUUUCUUUUCUCAGGCCCUCAUGUCGCAAAGUGAAAAGGAUCAUGACAAGGUUAAUUUUAGUGCACCACAGCUUAAAAAAAAAUUGAGGGGCAUUUGUAUUCAAAGAUAUUUGCAUCAAUCGGAAUCUCACUACAAUCUAAAUUAUAAUUUGGUAAAAAUAAAAAUUCAAUUCAAGAAAAAUUAGAUUCGAUUUAGAACUUAUACUGGUUUUUCAAAGACAUAAAUGGAUUAAGAAAUAAUUAUUGGACUUAUCCCCUUUUUGGAGCCGAAAGGAAGUUCAUUAGUCUUUUGGUUUUUUGCAUAAAUGAAGAUGAAUAGGGAUUAUUUUCUUCAAUGUCAAAACUUGUGAAAUUUCAAGAAACUUGGGAAUGCUGCAAAAUGGUUGAACUGGCACAAAAAAAUUAGUAUUUUCUUGAAUCUCUGACAGAUGAAUUAGAUCGCAAGAAAUACUUUUUUUUGAAGUGAAUAAUGUUUCGUAACGUAAGAGAAUCAUUUCUCUACUACUCGUAAAAACAUAAAUUAUUUGGAUUCUUUUUUUUAAGGUUUAGCUAUAUCUAUUGGUGUAAAUAUUAUAAUAACUUUUUUUAUGUAAAAUUAGCAGUUUGUUUUAUAAAACAUUUAGCAAAAUAAUAUCAUUUAAAAAAGAUUUGAUUAAAUAACAUGUUUUUAUCAUAUCAUGCCAAAUAUGAUAUUUAUUAAAUGUUGUUAUUUGUAGAAGUAACAAAUUGAAACUCCAAUCAUCUAGCUCAACAGGUUAAUUAAUUGAAUUAAGUUAUAGUAGUUAUAUAAACUGAUCGAUGUUUUCAUAUAAAAAUGAUAAUUUAAUGAAUUUUAUUAAAAUAUUUUUUAUGAAUCAAAAUAUAUAUCUUUUUUCAACUUAUAUACAAAAAAAUAGAUUUUAAUUAAAAUCUUAAAAUAUUAUUAUUCACAUAGUGAUUGUCCUUUGUUUUUCAUUGUCAAUGAUGUAGCUAUAUUUGCAAUAACUGGUAAUUCUAAAUAAUCAGAUGCAACUCUGCUGUAACUAAAUGAGAUUUGGCCCAAACAUAUUAUUUGGAUAGCUUUGCAUUUGUGAACUAAUAGGACAUGUAUAAACUUAGAAAGAAGGUCUAAUUAUACCAUAACAAAAUAAUGCUUAAAAGAACCAUAACUUUUGAUUAGACACUUAAAUUCUUUACAUGAGUUUUCAGAGGAAGUUUUUUCUAUUGUAGCUACUGUAUCGCUAUAUGAACCGUUAGAUUUUUAAAUAUAAAAAAUCUAGUUGAGUCACUUUGAUUUUAAUAACUUUGAGAUUUUUUUUGUUAUUUUUCGAAUCGAUCAACUGGUUUCACUGACCAUUAUGAAUCGGUUGAGCCAGAUAAUUGAAAUUUCACCUUGUCAUGUUUUAAAAGUGUGAUAUUUAUUAAAUGUCGCUAUUAUUUUAAUUUUUUUAAAAAUAAUAAUAUUUAAUAAAUAUUAUAUUUUUAAAGCACAAUAAAAUCAAAAUAUGCCAUUUCAUAAAAAAAAAAAUCUUCUCUGUUAAUUUGCCAAUUGUUUUGAUUUUAUUCACUAAUUUCCUAAUUUAUCCCUUUUUUUCCGUAACACAGCUAGCUAUAAUGUGCGGGUUCUUCAUUUAUUUAUUUUUCUCAACUGUGAUACAUAACAAUUAAUUUUUUUUCCACGUUUGUUAUUUUGGAAAAAAAAAAAUCGUAUCUUGUGACACAUGCAAUGGAUCUACAAUUAUUAUUGUCUUCAGGAGGUAAUCCUGUCCGUUCCCUGUUUUUGAGUAGAUGCCUAGACAAAUGCUAAAAUGCUAUCCUUCCAGCCCCACUACUAAAGAAAAACAAGUGGAUUUGCCUCCAAUACUUGAGGCUCAAUUUUGAUUUUUAUAAAGCAAACCGUGUGCCUCUUACCAAAAACAAGUCCCCACUCCAGCUUUGUCGUAAUUGAAUAUGAUAAGAUGCAUGAAAAAGAAAUCCCCCAUUUUUUCUCCAUUUGUAUUUAAUGCCACCAAGUGGUCCUUGAUGGACAUAAAGAUUCAGUCCCAUCCUAGCCUAACUGCACUAAAAUAAUACCACUGGCUUUAACUUGUGCCAAAACCACCAGCCACAGCUUAUCCCUGGCUUCCGGUUUCCUCCAAUUUUCGGGUCCUCUAGUCCCCUCCUCUCUAUAUAAGCAAUCCCCAGCUUGUCAUCUCCACCAUCAAACACCAUUUCCCUUCUCAAUUACAUCUCAACUUUUUCAAAACGUUGUCCAUCUUCUAGCUCUUCAGUUCAAUCGAAAGAAAUAGAAAAAUGAGUUCAACAAGCAAAGCUUGGGCUGUUGCCACUAGUAUUGCAGCUGUGGAGGCUUUGAAAGAUCAAGGAUUUUGCAGAUGGAACUACACAAUAAGAUCACUAUACCAACAUGCCAAGAACCAAGGCAAGUCAUCCUCUCUGCCCAAGAAGCUCUCUUCUCCAGCUUCUACUGUGGUUGCCGGUAAAGUAAGAGAGAAUCAGAAAGCAAGGCAAUCCGACGAGUCACUGAGGCAGGUCAUGUACUUGAGUUGCUGGGGUCCUUACUAGCCAGGCAGUGAACUACCAGCAAGGAACUAUGGCCAUGCAUGCACUGGUUGCAGCAUAGAGACAAUCGAAGUCUUUCCAAGAGAGACUUAUUUGGAGAAACAUGACAAGGCCGACUUCUUAUGACGAUGGACGCUGGAACCCAUCAACGAUUAGUCAGCUUCAUUUGAAUGUUAUGCUCUAGCAAUAUAUGUUUCAAUCAAUUGUAGCCCAAUGAAUUGCUGAAUGAUGGGAGCAAAUUCUUUCCAUUGCUGCAACAACUUGCAAGUGAUGUAAAUUGUAAUUUUUCAGAAUGUAACGGCAUUUAAAUUAAGACUCAAUUGAAUCAGUAAGCUAAUUACAUGAGUGGAUUAAAGUCUUGUUCUCUGCUUUUAGCCCAUAGGGAAUAAUUACUACAACGUCAAAACCUGUGUGCCUUCAUGAAACUUGGACUGUGGCAGAGUGGAUGAACCUCACACGACACUUUCUACUAUAAGUUUAUAUAUUGGGAUUAGGCUGCAGUCAAGUCUUGAGUAACAAAAAUUAAACCGGGUGGGGUUUUUUAUUGUGGCAGUGUGCGACAUCGCGGCGAAAAAUAUAAGUGUUUUUCAUUUUAAAUCGACAAUGUAAAUCUAUAUCUAUUUUAAAUCUACAAUGUAAAUCUAUAUCUAUUUGGCAAAUGGAGAGACAAGAAAUUCUUGUUUUUUGUUGGUGGAAAAUGGAAUGGGAGUCGUCACCUAGUAUUUUGGUCACUAGAAAUUUUAACUGGUCUCAGAGAUCGGGCACGGGGACUGGUUGCGUAAAGAGAAGGUAUUAGCACCCCAAAUACGCCUUACCUAAGAUAAGCUGCAUUAUUUUAUUGUCUGAUAAAAUCUAAGGUCUUUUCGUGUUUUCCUAGUUGUUGGUAUAGUUCAAGAAAAGUCCUCCUCGGUAAGGAGAUCCUUAUCUUAAUGGGUAAUUCUGACGUUAACAAAAGAAUUUAAUAUUCAGAAUAUGUCUUACGUAUAAGAUCGUAACCCCAAAUACUAAGUCCUCCUCGGUAAGGAGAUCCUUAUCUUAAUGGGUAAUUCUGACGUUAACAAAAGAAUUUAAUAUUUGGAAUACGUCUUACGUAUAAGAUCGUAACCCCAAAUACUAAAAGAAAACACAAUAAUUUUUUUGGAAGUUUUGAAAUAUUGGUCUAGUUCUCAUGGCUUGAAUAAACUGGUUAUUAAAGCCAACAUGCAUGUUAAUACAUAUAUUGUUUUGAAGUUUCCUUUGUUGCGUGAAAAUACGAUGUUAUAAUAUUUAUAUAUAUAUAUUGGAGAGACUAGGCCGUAUGCAUUAAAACAAAAACAUUUUUUUUAUAUAUAUAUUUUUGAUGUUUUGACGAAAACCGGGUAUUUUAAUACUUGAUUUGUAUCUUUACGGUAUAAAAAUACAAACCAAUAUUAAACCAUUUUGACAAAAAAAUAUGCAGGAAAAUCAUAGGAUUUUUUAUAAUAUAUUUUUUUGAAAGCAAAACAUUUUUUAUUUUAAAAUUUUUUGAUGUUUUGACGGAAACCGAGUAUUUUAAUACUAGAUUUGUAUCUUUACAGUAUAAAAAUACAAACCAAUAUUAAACCAUUUUGACAAAAAUAUGCAGGAAAAUAAACAAUAUUUUUUUCAAAUAUUUUUUAGAAUAUUUCUUUUUAUUUUAUACACACACAUAAUAUAAAACAAUAUAAUAUAUAAUAUAAUAUAUAAUAUAAUAUAUAAUAUAAUAUAUUAUGUGGGCUGGGCCGACCCAAAUAAAUGGGCCAGGCUCAGCCCAGCAUGGAUUGGGCCAAUCUCGGCCCAUUCAAUCUCUCAUUUUUGUCUGGGCCAGACUGGCCCAGAAUCAAUCUGGCCCAGCGCAAGAAACCCAUCGAGAGGGGAAUUAUUUUUCCCCUCCUAUCAAUUCUACAUGCAGGAGGAAAACGCCACGAGAAAAAAAUGCAGGGAGAAGACUUUACCUGGCGUGGAGGAGGUGGUCGUUGGUGGUGCUGCGAUGGAGGCCGGUGGCGGUGUCGUGGCUCACGGACGGCGGCUCCAAGCGGCGGUGCUGCUGUUUCAAACGGCGGAGGGUGAGGAUACUGCUCUUCCUUUCUCCUCCGUAUGGCUUCCUCUUCUUUCGUUUUUGGUGGUUUCCUCAGUUCGGGUUUGCUAGUUGUUCUUUUUGGUUCGGUUCUUUCCCUCCUUUUCCUAUGUUUUCUCUUUUUUUUUCUUUCGGUUUGUUCCUUCUCUUCCCUCUCUACUGAUCGUUCUCUCUCUUCGGGUUUUCUCCUUUCUUUCCCCUCUCUCUAUUCGAGCCUCUCUUUUCGUUUUCUUUUUUUUCCUCUUUUUUCCUCCCCCUCGCGUGCUGGCGUCCAGUCUUCAUUUAUAUGGGGCAAGGGAGCGGGGGCGUCGCUAUUGCCACCCUAUGGCAGCGCACGGGGAGCAGGGCUUUGCUGCCCUGCCACAGCGCCGGGCUGGCUGGCCAGUGGGCGUGGCUGGUAGGGCGCGGCUCCCUCGACUUUUCAUCAUGAGAGCGCAUGGGGGGGCGGUUUUGGCAGAUGUGGCAUGUCGGGUUCAACGACGAAAGAAGAAAAAAUUGCCUUCCCCUGCUGCACGUCCAGGGGAAGAGAUAGGGAACAGUGUCGUUCAAAACGACACUAUUCUGUUUUUUUUUUUUUUAACAUGAAACGGCGCCAUUUUAGACAAAACGCGCCGUUUCAUUUAAAUCAAAAAGGGGCGCCGAAAGGCGUCAUUGUCCAAGUCAGUCCUUAAUUAUAUUUUGUUCAUUUCAAUUGCAUCCCUUCCAAUUUCGGUCGCCACCCCUAUAUUUGUCCGCGUUUUUCACUUCAAUCCUUGGCCUCUGAUUUAUGCAAUUUGACCCUCAAUUAAUCAAUAAACUUCCAAUUUCUUCAAUUUAGCCCAUGAUUUUGUUAAUUACAACCCCUAUAUUUACACGCCUUUUCCAAUUUGGUCCUUGGUUUCGGAUAUUCUCAAUUCAGUCCCUAAUUGGCCAUUAAAGUUCAAUAUUUAUGCAAUUAAGCCCUUGAUUUGACCAAAUCAAUUCCUAAAAAUUAUAAUUUGACCCCAGAACUUUAAUUUCUUCCAAUUAAAGCCCAAAUUGACAUAAAAAUCAAUUUUUCUUGCAAUCAAAACCUCUAUAAAUUCAAUUAAACUUGCAAUAAAAUCCAAUUAAGUCCAUAAACAUCCAAUUUUGAACUUUUCUCUUCAAAUUGAAUUUUUUUCUUUUCCAACUGGGCUUUCAUCAUUCAAGGAUACACUGUCAAAAUUUCAAUCUUUGUAUUUUUAACCUCCUAUUAUUUUUUUAUUUUUUUAAUUUCUUCCGGCUAUAUAUAUAUAUAUAUAUUUAUUAUUAUUAUUAUUUAUUACUUUUAUUAUUUAUUUUGAUUUUUAUUAUUUUUGUUAUUAUUAUAUUUUUUAUUUAUUUUUAUUUUUAUUUUUAUUUUUGUGUGGGGACCCAAAAAUGGGUUACAACAUCGAUGUUGAAGAUGCACUAUUUACUUUUUCAAAGAGAUGAUUGGAUUAAAAGAAAAAAAAAGAAGAAGGUAAAAUGUAAGGUGAUUUUGAAUUUUAUAUAAAAAGUUUAUCGUGGUUUUUUAUAUAUUUAUUUUUAUAGAUGAUUGGUCCGAAAUUAAAUUUAGAUAUCAAUUUUUUUUUUAGUUUUUUUUUAAGAGGAAAGGACUAUUGGAUUAGUAGAGAGAGAAAAAAUAAUUAUUAACGAUUAUUCUAGCCAUAAAAAAUAAUUAAAAUUGGUGUUAAUAGAUUAUAUUUUUUACAACGAUAUUUAGUUGACGGAUUCGGCGAAAAAACAAACUAUGCGUAGUUUGUUGUCUUCAUUCUCGAGGGUUGGGUUGGAAGGCUUACGUGUUUGUAUUGCUUUUAUUUUUUUUUAUUUUUUGAUAUUUUAUAUUUUAAUUAAAAAAUUAAUAAAAAAUUUAUUAAAUUCAAUCAAAUUCAUGAGGAGUUUCUGCUUCUCAAAAAAAAAAAAAAAAUCAUCUCUUAUUAAUGAUGAUCUAUUUUUUUAACUCCAACUUAAAAUAGUGCAAUUUUAAUUUUACUAUUAUUAUCAAUAAUAUACUUUUGCUAUAUUAGCACCACGUCCCUAUCAUGAUUUUUUUACUUAACAAAAAAUAUUUCAUACAAAAAAAUUAUCAUGUGCUUUAUUGUUUUUAUUGUUAUGUAAUUAAAUGAAAAAUAAUUUUUGGAAUCAAAAAAUUAUUGAAUUUGAUGACUAACAUGAUUUGCUUUGUGAGUUUGACUGGCCGAGUCGAGUUGAUUUAAGUUUUUAAAUUAAAUACUAUUUUUUUAACCGAUUUUGUUCUUCAACAUUGAGUUAAUUUAAGAUUAAGCUUUUAAUUUGUUUUUUUAUUUUAUUUUUCAGAUUAUCCCUACAACUUUUAUAUCACAUCCAUGUUAAUUUAGGUAAAUCAAAUAUUUUUUUUUAUCUUAAUAUUAAAUAAAAAUAUCGUUCAAUUCAUAAUUAAAAUCUAGUUUUUUAGAAGACACAUCACUAAUAUUUAAAUAAUUUUUUUGUUUUUAAUUUAAAAUCUGCUCCAAACCCACGGCAUAGGGCGGUAGUUCAAAGCUCCGUAAAAGGAAUUCACAAGUUAGAGCAAAUAUUUGGAGUAAUUAUUCAUAAUCUUUCGUAAAAUAGGUAAACCAAUUUAUUUUCUGAUCACAGUCCAUGUCGUUUCCAUAUCAACAUUAUGCAUCACGAGUCAUUUUUGCUUUUUUUGAACCCCUUGCAACUAAAGUUAUUAAAUUGGAUAUGCUAAUAACUUAUUUUAAGAUUUGGACUAAACAAGUUAAUUUAAAUUGUUUUUAUUAAUUAAAAUAAUAUUAUUUAAUUUAUUUUUUAAAAUUAAAUUAAGUUUGAAACUAAUUCAAUCAUGUGAUAAUUUGAUCCAUCAUAUAGUUUAACUAAGUUAAUUAUCAUCUACUUUUUUAAAAAAUUAACUUGAUUCAGGUUUAAUAAUAAUUAUCAAAACUUGAGAACUGUUUUUUCCUUAAGUUUUACUUAUUUAUUUAUCUUUUUAGUGAUAUAUAAAUCGUUAAAAAAUAAUAUAAAUUAUAUCCUGGAAUUUUGCCUAACCGAUUAAGCUAUUAAGUUAAGAUGGUUUUUUGAUAUAGUAUCAGAGCGUUGAUGAUCAAGCGGUCACGAGUUCGAAUCUCACCAUCCCUAUUUAUUUAAUAAAAAUCAAACACAAGAUAAUAUGAGUUUGUGCAAGUUUCAAGUCCAAAUGACUUUUAUUUGAGGAGGUGUCAAUUUAAACUAUUAAAUUGAAAUAAUUUUUUUGAAACGGAAGGAUUCACAAUUAUUGUGUUCAUGAUGUGAUCCUAUACUUUUUCCUGUUUUUGAGUAGAUGACUAGAUAAAAUUUAUUUAAAAAAAAAAAUCAAAACGACAUUGUUUUAGUAAAAAAGAAAACAAAAAAAAUAAAAGCCAAUAAGUUUGUGGCCGGGUCUUUACCAGAUCUUUCCAGGUCAGCCGGAUCACACCAAAUUUUUCCUUUCUUUAUUUUUUUUUCAACCCGGUCCGGUUUCGUUCCCGGAUCGACCUACCAGGUCAUCAGGUUUCAAAACUAUGUCGAAGGUUACCACCUUUGGUUUUUUAUCUCUAUUUUUUAAAUGACCAAGUUGUAUUCCAAUAAUUAAAGGGGAAAUAGAGACCACUUGUCUUAUAAAAAAUACCGUUGGCUUUUGCUGGUUUCCUCACUCAAAACCACCACGAAGAAGCCUUGAGCCUCUGGUUUUUCUCCUACAAUUUUGGUACACACUCACCUAUAUAACCAAACCCCUUUACUCCCAUUUACUUCAUCAAAUCAUAACUCCUGAUAUCUUAAUCUCUCCAAAUCCCACUUCAAAGAGUUUCCAGCUCGUUGGUUCUAUAUUACAGUAACACAGAAAAUGAGUUCAGCAAGCAAAGCUUGGUUGGUUGCAGCAGCUGUUGGAGGAGUCGAGGCCUUGAAAGACCAAGGGUUCUGUAGGUGGAACUAUACCUUGAGAUCGCUACACCAACAUGCCAAGAACCAUGUCAGAUCAGCCUCUCAGGCCAAGAAGCUUUCUUCUUCAUCUUCUGCUAUGAUCUCGAAUAAAAUCAAGGAAGUGAAAGCAAAACAGUCUGAGGAAUCUCUAAGAAAAGUCAUGUAUUCGAGCUGUUGGGGUCCUUACUAAGCAAAGAAGCUAGAACAGAUUGAGGAAGUUAUCGUGAUAGGAUUAUCCUGAUUGUUGCAAGUUGAUGUAAAUUGAUUCGUAAAUAUUGUUGCUGAC
This 25396-nucleotide long non-coding RNA is filed under the name Populus tremula. RNAcentral describes it as "long non-coding RNA (PTRE_LNC001600)". The record is from RNAcentral. Lineage: Eukaryota; Viridiplantae; Streptophyta; Magnoliopsida; Malpighiales; Salicaceae.